RNAcentral lists this ribosomal RNA (274 nucleotides) under uncultured bacterium. Its description in RNAcentral is "partial 16S ribosomal RNA". It matches the Rfam family "Bacterial small subunit ribosomal RNA", at positions 523 to 796 of the family's 1533-position model. The record is from RNAcentral.
AUACGGAGGGUGCAAGCGUUAAUCGGAAUUACUGGGCGUAAAGCGCGCGUAGGCGGUUUGGUUAGUUGGAUGUGAAAGCCCAGGGCUUAACCUUGGAACUGCAUCCAAUACUGCCAGGCUAGAGUACGGUAGAGGGGGGUAGAAUUCCACGUGUAGCGGUGAAAUGCGUAGAGAUGUGGAGGAAUACCAGUGGCGAAGGCGGCCCCCUGGACUGAUACUGACGCUAAGGUGCGAAAGCGUGGGGAGCAAACAGGAUUAGAAACCCCGGUAGUCC